Molecule: ribosomal RNA, 564 nt
Filed under: Triticum aestivum (bread wheat)
Lineage: Eukaryota; Viridiplantae; Streptophyta; Magnoliopsida; Poales; Poaceae
Description: partial small subunit ribosomal RNA
Source: RNAcentral
AUGACAGAUUUUGUGGCUUGGAGCUAUACAAAGACGGGUGUUUUUUCAGUGAGGUCUGCCUAUCACGCAGUCUGGGAGACUCAGUUCGGACAACGGUUACAACAUGUUGGCAGCUCGUCUACAAUUACGCCCGCUUGGGAUUCUAUAUGGUCUCUGAGUUGUCCAGGGAAAGUCAAAAUUUUCACUUGGAGAGCACUUAACAACUCAAUACCUUGCCGAGCGAACCUGUCUGACAGGCACAUUAAAAUCUCACCACAAUGCCCAGUAUGUCAUGAUGGUCCUGAAACACUUUGGCACCUCCUGUUCGUGUGUCCGUUGGAAGUGGAGGUUUGGAAAUUGCUUGGUUUGUUUGAUGUGAUAAAGCAAGGUCUGCUCAUGGACAAAUCUGGAGAAAGGGUGUUGGAGUUUCUUAUGAAUCUUCCUGAGAACUAUAUCCACGUCCUGGGACUGACGAAACUGAAGGAAACAAUUGCUACUUGCUGCUGGUACUUGUGGUGGGAAAGGAGGAAGCAUGCGCAUGGGGGAACACCGCAAAAUGCAUCCCAGGUUAGCCUAGCAGUUUGA